UGGGGAAUAUUGCACAAUGGGCGCAAGCCUGAUGCAGCCAUGCCGCGUUUAUGAAGAAGGCCUUCGGGUUGUAAAGUACUUUCAGUCGGGAGGAAGGUGGUAAGGUUAAUAACCUUAUCAAUUGACGUUACCGACAGAAGAAGCACCGGCUAACUCCGUGCCAGCAGCCGCGGUAAUACGGAGGGUGCAAGCGUUAAUCGGAAUUACUGGGCGUAAAGCGCACGCAGGCGGUUGAUUGAGUCAGAUGUGAAAUCCCCGGGCUUAACCCGGGAAUUGCAUCUGAGACUGGUCAGCUAGAGUCUUGUAGAGGGGGGUAGAAUUCCAUGUGUAGCGGUGAAAUGCGUAGAGAUGUGGAGGAAUACCGGUGGCGAAGGCGGCCCCCUGGACAAAGACUGACGCUCAGGUGCGAAAGCGUGGGGAGCAAACAGG
This 429-nucleotide ribosomal RNA is filed under the name Chloroflexota bacterium. RNAcentral's name for it is "Chloroflexi bacterium partial 16S ribosomal RNA". It matches the Rfam family "Bacterial small subunit ribosomal RNA", at positions 355 to 776 of the family's 1533-position model. Lineage: Bacteria; Bacillati; Chloroflexota. The record is from RNAcentral.